Molecule: ribosomal RNA, 493 nt
Filed under: uncultured bacterium
Lineage: Bacteria
Description: partial 16S ribosomal RNA
Rfam family: Bacterial small subunit ribosomal RNA
Source: RNAcentral
ACGAACGCUGGCGGCGUGCUUAACCCAUGCAAGUCGAACGGUGAAGCGCCUUCCUUUUUGGUGGGUGUGGAUGAGUGGCGAACGGGUGAGUAACACGUGAGUAACCUGCCCCCUUCUUCUGGAUAACCGCAUGAAAGUGUGGCUAAUACGGGAUAUUCUGGGUCUGUCGCAUGAUGGGUCUGGGAAAGAUAUUGUUUCGGUGGGGGAUGGGCUCGCGGCCUAUCAGCUUGUUGGUGGGGUGAUGGCCUACCAAGGCGGUGACGGGUAGCCGGCCUGAGAGGGUGGACGGUCACACUGGGACUGAGACACGGCCCAGACUCCGACGGGAGGCAGCAGGGGGGAAUAGUGCACAAUGGGCGCAAGCCUGAUGCAGCGACGCCGCGUGAGGGAUGGAGGCCCUCGGGUUGUGAACCUCUUUCGCCAGUGAAGCAGGCCUGCCUCGUUUGUGGGUGGGUUGACGGUAGCUGGAGAAGAAGCGCCGGCUAACUACGUG